This 405-nucleotide ribosomal RNA is filed under the name Triticum aestivum (bread wheat). RNAcentral's name for it is "partial small subunit ribosomal RNA". The record is from RNAcentral. Lineage: Eukaryota; Viridiplantae; Streptophyta; Magnoliopsida; Poales; Poaceae.
AUGCGAAGGAGGGCUACAACUGAUAAGAACGUAUGCAGAGAUGUCGGUUACCAUAUUCUUGUUGGAGCUGACAUUCUGAGUGAUGAACAUUAUUCAACUAUCAAAAAGCGUUAUACAUGUUGGCAGAAUCCAAUCCCCAAUUGGAUGCUCACGGACUGGCAUAUGCUUGAGAUAAAUACCAACAAUAAUGUCGUUCUAGCAGUUUCAGAUGAGAACCAUACACCGUGGAGGUUCGCAGUUGUCCAUUAUACUCUGCUCGUACCUCAUUCCAUUGUUGCUCAUGGAGGGACUGUAUUACAUACCCAGCACUUGGGUCACCCAGCUCGCACGGAUUAUUCAACAUAUAUAUGUGCAACAUGUCAGCAUCUUGGUACACGCAUCCCACUAAGCAUGCUGUUGUGCUAA